Molecule: ribosomal RNA, 855 nt
Filed under: Triticum aestivum (bread wheat)
Lineage: Eukaryota; Viridiplantae; Streptophyta; Magnoliopsida; Poales; Poaceae
Description: partial small subunit ribosomal RNA
Source: RNAcentral
AUGGCCACCACGGCCGCCGCCGCCGCCCCGGUGCCAGGCGCUAUUCCAGCCGCGGCGCCCGCGGCCCCGUCCGCGCAACCGCAUCCCGUUCCAGACAAAUGUACGAAUUAUAAAAACCAUUUGCAAGAGUGGACUCAAAGGAAUGAUCAGAAGUUGCCAGCUUAUAAUACUGAGUCAAAACGUGACCAUCAUCGACUUGAGUUCAGAAGCACCGUUGAGGUGGGUGGCGAGCGGUUUCAAUCAGCUCGCAAUCAUAGCCGCCGCAAGGAUGCAGAGCAGGAUGCUGCCAGAGUGGCCUAUGAAAUCCUGGUGACAAAGACAGUAAAUGAUGAUGAUCAUACAGACGCGCUUGGGCUGAUUGAUCAGGGCGUGGUGUUCUGCAAAUCAAUUCUCCAUGAAUUUGCUGUUAAGACAAAAGUUGAUCAGCCCACUUACUCCGCAGAUCAUCCAGAAGGGGUAUCACCCAUGACUCUGUUUGUUUCAUCUGUGUUGUUUGCUGGGAACACUUAUACUGGUGAAGCUGCAACAUGUAAGAAGGACGCAGAGCAGAAGGCUGCUCGUGUUGCAGUCAAAUCUAUUUUAGCUACAAAGAACACUUGUAUGCAUCAAAUUGUCAGAUCAAAGAAAGAGCUUAUCAUUGCCAUCACAUCUUCUGGGUUCAACAAAGAAAGAGGAGUUGUAAGCCAGGAAAACUGCAAUGCUCCAACAAAUGCAAUUACUCCUAUAAAAUUUGUGCCUGCUGGUGAAGCUGCUGGUCUAACUGCGGAUCAAGGAGCGACCAACGUUCCUGAAGAUGAUCCAUGUGCACAAGCUGUAUCUGGCUCGGAAAAGCGCAAGAAGCACAGAAAGGUUUGA